Molecule: transfer RNA, 64 nt
Filed under: Thulinius sp. DVL-2010
Lineage: Eukaryota; Metazoa; Tardigrada; Eutardigrada; Parachela; Doryphoribiidae
Description: tRNA-Gln
Source: RNAcentral
UAUUAAGUAGUAUAAUUUACAUUAAAUUUUGAGUUUAAGAAUAUAGUUCGCUCUAUCUUAAUUU